AGCACAAACGUUUCCCGUGCAAGUUUGAAUCUCUCUCAGUAAGGACUAACUGACUGGCUUUCUGUUCUCAACCAAACGGUCAUUCUUACUUGUAAAAACCUUUUAAAGCACAAACGUUUCCUGCGUAAGUUUGAAUUUCUCUCACACAAACAUUUCCCGCGCAAGUUUGAAUUUCUCUAGGACUGAUGGAUGGCCAUUCACUCAUAAAACCUUUUAAAGGUUAGCAGGAAUGCGUCCAGCAUAAUUUUGGAUCUUUACCAUUGUGGAGACUGGCUGACUGACUGUUCUCAACCAACCAUCAUUCACUAACAAAAACUUUAAAGGUACCACAUUUAUUUAUUAUGUUGUUAGUAAACCACAGUUCUGUUAGUGGAAUAUUUAUUCAUAUUUUUGUUUUUUCU
Molecule: non-coding RNA, 401 nt
Organism: Paramisgurnus dabryanus
Lineage: Eukaryota; Metazoa; Chordata; Actinopteri; Cypriniformes; Cobitidae
Source: RefSeq, a predicted model, not a curated record